AAAAUAAGAAGAUGAAGACAAUAAAGAUGAUGAAGAUGAAAAGCCAAAGAAAGUUGAAAAGAAGAAUGAAGAUUGAAGAUGGUUAAUGAUGGAGGCAGAGUACAUGGAUGGAAGUCAUUGUGCAAUGGAGGCGAGUUUGAUAAGAAAAAUAAUAAAAGAUAUUGAUCUAAUGUAAUUAGAAGCAAUUCUAAUUAUGUGUGACAAUAAAGAAUGUCUUGCAUUUGCCUAGAAUUCAAAAUACCACUCGAGAACCAAACUCAUUGAUGUUCA
RNAcentral lists this long non-coding RNA (270 nucleotides) under Physcomitrium patens. RNAcentral describes it as "long non-coding RNA (PPAT_LNC001846)". Lineage: Eukaryota; Viridiplantae; Streptophyta; Bryopsida; Funariales; Funariaceae. The record is from RNAcentral.